GAUGAUGUGCUCUAGAUUCUCAUUCGCUAAGGGAUGGAUAUGAGCUCUUCGAUCGGUGUCCCAUGCUCUUCAGCUAACUCAUCAUGGGUUUCCAGUCCUUCUAUGGGGUAGAAUUCGAUUGGUUUGCCUCCUCGAAAGGUGAUGUUGUAGCAAUAGUGCACCAAGUCUUGGUCUCCAUGAACUUCUCUGAUACCCUUUGUC
Molecule: long non-coding RNA, 201 nt
Filed under: Elaeis guineensis (African oil palm)
Lineage: Eukaryota; Viridiplantae; Streptophyta; Magnoliopsida; Arecales; Arecaceae
Description: long non-coding RNA (EGUI_LNC037428)
Source: RNAcentral